Molecule: ribosomal RNA, 419 nt
Filed under: uncultured bacterium
Lineage: Bacteria
Description: bacterial SSU rRNA
Rfam family: Bacterial small subunit ribosomal RNA
Source: RNAcentral
UGGGGAAUCUUGCGCAAUGGCCGAAAGGCUGACGCAGCGACGCCGCGUGUGGGAUGACGCCUUUCGGGGUGUAAACCACUGUUGCCCGGGACGAACAGCACUAUUCGUAGUGCCUGACUGUACCGGGUGAGGAAGCACCGACUAACUCUGUGCCAGCAGCCGCGGUAAUACAGAGGGUGCGAGCGUUGUCCCGAAUCACUGGGCGUAAAGGGCGCGUAGGUGGUGGCUUAAGCGUGCGGUGAAAGCUCGGAGCUCAACUCCGAGUCGGCCGUGCGAACUGGGCUCACUGGAGCAUAGUAGAGGCAGGUGGAAUUCCGGGUGUAGCGGUGGAAUGCGUAGAGAUCCGGAAGAACACCGGUGGCGAAGGCGGCCUGCUGGGCUAUGGCUGACACUGAGGCGCGACAGCGUGGGGAGCAAAC